Long non-coding RNA from Chinchilla lanigera (long-tailed chinchilla), 1119 nucleotides. RefSeq lists it as uncharacterized. NCBI's taxonomy places the organism in Eukaryota, Metazoa, Chordata, Mammalia, Rodentia, Chinchillidae. The record is from RefSeq and is a predicted model, not a curated record. The transcript is spliced from 2 exons.
GGCCAAGGAUUUUCACAGCACCGUAAAGAAGGAGAAGCUCACUUUCGUCUAAUUUCUCUGCAGCAGCGCUGGCUACUGAGCAAGUCCCCUCGCCCUGCUCCAGAGCUUGUCAACAAGCCCCUCUCCACCCUGUCCUCACUGGCUUCCUGGACUCGGGGCCAUUCUUCCUCCAUUUGUCUAUCAAACUCUACUAAGCCCAGCAGGUCCCUCAGGGCUGAUCUUGGGGGAAGGAAACAUGAGGUGGUGCUGCUCCGGUGUGCGGGAGGAAAAACUGAACACAUUUAAAGGUUUGAGAACUUUACCCUGUAGUUCAUCGAAAACAAGUGCUUUCAUUUUUAGAGUUCUUUAGUAAGUGUUCUGAUUGUUUUCCCUGAAUCCUAAAUUUCUUAUUUACUUAGCUCAAUUUUAUUUAGGUUUUCAAAUGUAUGUGGAACUCUAUCUCUGAAGGACAAACAAUAUGCAAGAGACACUUACUGCAAUUUUUCUUUAAAAUGAAGAGAAAUUAUAAAGUGCGCUGAGAUUCGUUAUUUGCCAAAAUAUCUAAAAAUUUGGGGCAGGGGUACCAUUUUGGAUGCAGUUACCACUGACAAAGUAUCAGCUCAGACUGCUUUCGCAUUAGAGUGUGUGAAACUAAAAUAUUUACCUCUGAAGUCCCCAAAAGGCCAAAGGAAUAUGUUACAAACAACUUGACAAGGAUGUUUCAGUGGCCCUGGAGUGUGGAACAAGAGUGAAAAGUAGAAAUUUCGAUGCAAGGCUCUAAAUCAGAUAAAAGUGGAAGAUUGUGGAUGUACUAGUCUUCCUUUUCCUAACAAAUUUCUUCUAAACGUUCUCACUGCUCAGUAAUCUCUUCCCUUCUCCCACCUUUGUCAACAUCUGCCUUACCUGUCCAGAGGCUCUAGCUCCUUCUAACAAGUACGGACUGCAAUCUCAGGUCAUCAAGGUAGGGUGGAGUUUUGUAGGAAAGGAAACUGAGGCUGUGACAGAAAGCUCUUACAUGUAUAUUCCCCUAAUGAGAUCCAGUGACUUUUGAAUCUGAUUGUCUGAAUUUUCAAAUAAUGAUGCUAGAUAUUUGUUGAGUAUAUUAAUCUUUUAAAUAAAUCUUAAUCUUAAUUAUCCAAA